AGAAUCAUUCGCAAUGGGCGGAAGCCUGACGGUGCGACGUCGCGUGGAGGAUGGAGGUCUUCGGAUUGUAAACUCCUUUUGUGAGGGAUAAACGGGCCGGUGGCGAACAGCCACUGGCAGUGAUAGUACCUCAAGAAUAAGAGACGGCUAACUCUGUGCCAGCAGCCGCGGUAAUACAGAGGUCUCGAGCGUUGUUCGGAUUUACUGGGCGUAAAGGGAGCGUAGGCGGCCGGGUGUGUCGAAUGUGAAAUCCCGCAACUCAACGGCGGAACGGCAUUCGAAACUGCCUGGCUGGAGUACCGGAGAGGAAGGCGGAAUUCUUGGUGUAGCGGUGAAAUGCGUAGAUAUCAAGAAGAACACCGAUGGCGAAGGCAGCCUUCUGGACGGAUACUGACGCUGAGGCUCGAAAGUCAGGGGAGCAAACA
RNAcentral lists this ribosomal RNA (425 nucleotides) under uncultured bacterium. RNAcentral's name for it is "bacterial SSU rRNA". It matches the Rfam family "Bacterial small subunit ribosomal RNA", at positions 358 to 774 of the family's 1533-position model. The record is from RNAcentral.